This 77-nucleotide transfer RNA is filed under the name Rubrobacter sp. RNAcentral's name for it is "tRNA-Ile". It matches the Rfam family "tRNA". From Rfam's summary of the family: Transfer RNA (tRNA) molecules are approximately 80 nucleotides in length. Their secondary structure includes four short double-helical elements and three loops (D, anti-codon, and T loops). Further hydrogen bonds mediate the characteristic L-shaped molecular structure. tRNAs have two regions of fundamental functional importance: the anti-codon, which is responsible for specific mRNA codon recognition, and the 3' end, to which the tRNAs corresponding amino acid is attached (by aminoacyl-tRNA synthetases). tRNAs cope with the degeneracy of the genetic code in two manners: having more than one tRNA (with a specific anti-codon) for a particular amino acid; and 'wobble' base-pairing, i.e. permitting non-standard base-pairing at the 3rd anti-codon position. Lineage: Bacteria; Bacillati; Actinomycetota; Rubrobacteria; Rubrobacterales; Rubrobacteraceae. The record is from RNAcentral. RNAcentral also lists the same sequence under 5 other names.
GGGCCUGUAGCUCAGGUGGUUAGAGCGCUUCUCUGAUAAGGAAGAGGUCCCUGGUUCGAGUCCAGGCAGGCCCACCA